GUGGGGAAUAUUGGACAAUGGGCGAAAGCCUGAUCCAGCCAUGCCGCGUGUGUGAAGAAGGUCUUCGGAUUGUAAAGCACUUAAGUUGGGAGGAAGGGCAGUAAGUUAAUACCUUGCUGUUUUGACGUUACCGACAGAAGAAGCCCCGGCUAACUUCGUGCCAGCAGCCGCGGUAAUACGAAGGGGGCUAGCGUUGUUCGGAAUUACUGGGCGUAAAGCGCGCGUAGGUGGUUUUGUAAGUUGGAGGUGAAAUCCCCGGGCUCAACCUGGGAACUGCCUCCAAAACUGCAUGACUAGAGUACGGUAGAGGGUAGUGGAAUUUCCUGUGUAGCGGUGAAAUGCGUAGAUAUAGGAAGGAACACCAGUGGCGAAGGCGACUACCUGGACUGAUACUGACACUGAGGUGCGAAAGCGUGGGGAGCAAACAGGAUUAGAUACCCCAGUAGUCC
This 449-nucleotide ribosomal RNA is filed under the name uncultured bacterium. Its description in RNAcentral is "partial 16S ribosomal RNA". It matches the Rfam family "Bacterial small subunit ribosomal RNA", at positions 354 to 796 of the family's 1533-position model. The record is from RNAcentral.